Sitodiplosis mosellana (orange wheat blossom midge) is the source of this 1463-nucleotide long non-coding RNA. RefSeq lists it as uncharacterized. The transcript is spliced from 3 exons. The record is from RefSeq and is a predicted model, not a curated record. Lineage: Eukaryota; Metazoa; Arthropoda; Insecta; Diptera; Cecidomyiidae.
GCUUGAAAACUAGCGUUUUUCAAGAAAUUGUUAACUUUUAAAUCAGAUUUACAGGUACUUGUAAAAUUGUAAAUCAAUUUUACAAUUUACAAGUUUACAAUUAUUGUAGCUGUACGGUGCAACAGGCUCCAGGUUGAAUGAAAAUAUGCAAACAAUUGUCAAUUGAGUGGAUGCAAACACUUUGUCGAAAACUGACCUUACUAGCCUAACAGGUAAAACAGUGUUGGCUGUUGUGCUUGCUUUGAAGAAAGACUCCUGGGAUUUGAUAUUCUGGAUGAUAAUUGUUGGUAAGUGAAGAGUAGUACGUUCAAUUCUUGGAUUUGAGAGUGUAACCCACCUACUUUUAACAAUUUAAAUUCUAUUAGGUUUGUCAUUGAUCACAUACACAACAUGGUUAAUCGGUCAAAGGGAUAUUGCAACUUUUUUGACCAGAAAAAACGCCAUCUUACGUCGUGCCCGUAAAUUAUUUCACUGUACAUUUAGAUGGUAGAGCUUGAACAAAAGUUCGAAACUAUGCUUAAACUUGGAAAUAGAUUGAUAAACUUGAUGAAAUACAUAUAUUUUAUGGUCGUUGCAAUACCCCUAUGUAAUCGUUAUUCAUCAGGUAAAUCAUCAUAAAAUUGUUUUCAAUAUUUUUCAAGUGUAAAACCGGUCUUCUGAUGCCAGCUAUAUUUUGGUCCGUCGUCUAUACAAUAUGUGUGAUUGUUGACUUCGGACUUGCAUGUGCUCGUGUCGAGGCAUUUUUAUGGGAUGUUGCUUUUUGGCUCCCCUUCAUGAAACUUAAUUAUACCGAGCGUAUGGGUAUAAAUGCAGCUCUGUAUGUCGUAAGAAUCAUCAAAUGUGUCUAUGAUCUUGUGUUAGGAGUGCUUUCAAACGUUGUGACGUACUCACAUUUCACGCAUACGAAGGAACUUGAACAGCAACGACAUGCAUUUAUGACACAAUUUCAGUAAUUCUGGUCCAUGAAGAAAGCAACUGUGGAAUGAACUGUCAAUUGUCACGUUUUAUAUUUCCUUUCAAUAAAACUCGGUUCAAAUUUGAAUCGAAUUUCAAAUCGCAGUUCACAUUAUUAUGUUUGCUCAGUUCGAAUAGUCAAAUUCUGUACACUUUCGAAAACGAUUUGAGAUCUGAUUUUUGUAUCAAAUUCAUUUUAAAUUCGGUAAAAUCUAAAAAAAAACUGAAAUCGACAUUGAAAUAAUUUGUAAAUUGGAAUCAUCAAUCAAGCAGAGAGUCUUCGUCAUUCGGAAUGGUUCGACCGAUAAUCAGAGAGUGCCUUUGCAUGAGCCUAAGAUCUACUGGAGCGUUAUUGGGAUGGUUUUAAGUUGUAAUUAGCUUAAUAAGUAUAAUUGUGUUGGCUGUUUUGCUUGCUAAAGACAUAGACUACUGGGACGUGAUAUUCUGGAUGGUUAUUGAUUGUUUGUUAUUGGUCGUAUACGCUACAUGGUCACUCGGUAUUUAUCAGG